AUGAAAGCGCGAGAAGGGCACACGGUGGAUGCCUUGGCGUCAAGAGGCGAUGAAGGACGUGGCACGCUGCGAAAAGCUUCGGGGAGUUGCGAGCAUACUUUGAUCCGGAGAUAUCCGAAUGGGGAAACCCAACAGCCCAUGUGGCUGUUAUCGUACACUGAAUACAUAGGUGUGCGAAGCGAACGCGGGGAACUGAAACAUCUAAGUACCCGUAGGAAAAGAAAUCAACCGAGAUUCCGUUAGUAGCGGCGAGCGAAAGCGGAUUAGGCCAGCGUCAUCAACUGGUCAUGUAUUAGUCGAACAGCUCUGGAAAGGGCGACCAUAGACGGUGAUAGUCCGGUAGGCGAAAGUGCAUGAUCAGGGGGCGCAUUGAGUAGGACGGGACACGUGAAACCCUGUCUGAAGAUGGGAGGACCUCCUUCCAAGCCUAAAUACUCCUUGACGACCGAUAGUGAACCAGUACCGUGAGGGAAAGGUGAAAAGGACCCCGAUAAGGGGAGUGAAAUAGAUCCUGAAACCGUGUGCUUACAAGCAGUGGGAGGGCGGUGUUUCGUACUGCCUGACCGCGUACCUUUUGUAUAAUGGGUCAGCGAGUUGAUUUACACAGCAUAGCUUAAGCCGAGAGGUGUAGGCGUAGCGAAAGCGAGUCUGAACAGGGCGACGAGUUGUGUGGAUCAGACCCGAAACCGGGUGAUCUAUCCAUGGGCAGGGUGAAGGUGCGGUAACACGCACUGGAGGCCCGAACCCACCUAUGUUGAAAAAUGGGGGGAUGACUUGUGGAUAGGAGUGAAAGGCUAAACAAACCCGGAGAUAGCUGGUUCUCCCCGAAAACUAUUUAGGUAGUGCCUUGUGUAUGUCUGACGGGGGUAGAGCACUGGAUGGGCUAGGGGGGCUUACCGCCUUACCAAACCUAACCAAACUCCGAAUACCGUCAAGGCGAGCACAGGAGACAGACUGCGGGUGCUAAGGUCCGUAGUCGAAAGGGAAACAGCCCAGAUCGCCAGCUAAGGUCCCCAAAUCAGGUUUAAGUGGCAAAGGAAGUGGAAAUGCCCAGACAGCCAGGAGGUUGGCUUAGAAGCAGCCAUCCUUUAAAGAAAGCGUAAUAGCUCACUGGUCGAGUGGGUCUGCGCCGAAAAUAUAACGGGGCUAAAAACCUGUACCGAAGCUGCGGAUGUGUGAGUCUUUCGGGACUCAUACGUGGUAGGGGAGCGUUCUGUAAGCCUGUGAAGCCGUACCGAGAGGAGCGGUGGAGGUAUCAGAAGUGAGAAUGCUGACAUGAGUAGCGCUGAAACAGGUGAGAAACCUGUUCGCCGUAAACCCAAGGUUUCCUGCGCAAGGGUAUUCCGCGCAGGGUUAGUCGGUCCCUAAGGCGAGGCUUUUAGAGCGUAGCCGAUGGGAAGCCGGUCAAUAUUCCGGCACCGUUUUCAACUGCGAAGGGGGGACGGAGAAGGGUAGACCUACCGGGCGGUGGUUGUCCCGGGUUAAGCGUUUAGGCGGGAGUUGUUGGUAAAUCCGCGACUCCAUAACGCUGAGGCGUGACGACGAGUCUUCUUGAAGACGAAGUGGUUGAUCCCAAGCUUCCAAGAAAAUCCUCUAAGCAUCAGGUUGAGAAUGACCGUACCCCAAACCAACACAGGUGGGUGGGAAGAGCAUUCCAAGGCGAGUGAGAGAACCUGGGUGAAGGAACUCGGCAAAAUGGCCCCGUAACUUCGGGAGAAGGGGUGCCCCUAUUAGGUGAAGCGACUUGCUCGUGGAGCUGAAAGGGGUUGCAGUGAAAUGGGGGGAGCGACUGUUUACCAAAAACACAGGACUCUGCGAAGUCGGAAGACGAAGUAUAGGGUCUGACGCCUGCCCGGUGCCGGAAGGUUAAGAGGAGGGGUGCAAGCUCUGAAUCGAAGCCCCGGUAAACGGCGGCCGUAACUAUAACGGUCCUAAGGUAGCGAAAUUCCUUGUCGGGUAAGUUCCGACCUGCACGAAUGGCGUAACGAUUUCCCCGCUGUCUCCACCCAGGACUCAGCGAAAUUGAAGUUGCCGUGAAGAUGCGGCAUACCCGCGGCAAGACGGAAAGACCCCGUGAACCUUUACUAUAGCUUUGCAUUGGCACUAGAGUCAGUUUGUGUAGGAUAGGUGGGAGGCAUUGAAGCGGAGGCGCCAGCCUUCGUGGAGUCAACCUUGAAAUACCACCCUGAUUGGCUUUGGUGUCUAACCUCGACCCGUUAUCCGGGUUCGGGACAGUGCAUGGUGGGUAGUUUGGCUGGGGCGGUCGCCUCCCAAAGAGUAACGGAGGCGCGCUAUGGUUCGCUCAGGUUGGUCGGACAUCAACCGUAGAGUGCAAAGGCAUAAGCGAGCCUGACUGCGAGACCGACAGGUCGAGCAGGGACGAAAGUCGGCCUUAGUGAUCCGGCGAUUCCGAGAGGAAGGGUCGUCGCUCAACGGAUAAAAGGUACUCCGGGGAUAACAGGCUGAUCUCCCCCAAGAGUUCACAUCGACGGGGAGGUUUGGCACCUCGAUGUCGGCUCAUCGCAUCCUGGGGCUGAAGCAGGUCCCAAGGGUUUGGCUGUUCGCCAAUUAAAGCGGUACGCGAGCUGGGUUCAGAACGUCGUGAGACAGUUCGGUCCCUAUCUGCCGUGGGCGCAGGAAAAUUGAGAGGAUCCGCUUCUAGUACGAGAGGACCGAAGUGGACGUACCUCUGGUGUACCGGUUGUUCUGCCAAGAGCACCGCCGGGUAGCUACGUACGGAAGGGAUAACCGCUGAAGGCAUCUAAGCGGGAAACCCACCUCGAGAUGAGUUUUCCCUAUGAGACCCGUGGGAGACCACCACGUUGAUAGGCCGGGUGUGGAAGCGUGGCAACACGUGAAGCUGACCGGUACUAAUUGGUCCAUUGGCUUUUAUAC
This 2895-nucleotide ribosomal RNA is filed under the name Magnetococcales bacterium. RNAcentral's name for it is "23S ribosomal RNA". It matches the Rfam family "Bacterial large subunit ribosomal RNA". The record is from RNAcentral. Lineage: Bacteria; Pseudomonadati; Pseudomonadota; Magnetococcia; Magnetococcales.